GUGUUGUAUGAAAGGAAAGAAAGUUAGCACUCUUCUUGACAAGGAUGGAAGAGGCCCUUGGGCCUAAUAACACGCAUAUGGUUAAGGCACCGCCACCUACUUCCUGGCAUCUAACCACUGUUUAAA
This 126-nucleotide non-coding RNA is filed under the name Nannospalax galili (Upper Galilee mountains blind mole rat). The record is from RNAcentral. Lineage: Eukaryota; Metazoa; Chordata; Mammalia; Rodentia; Spalacidae.